AGACUGAAUUCAAUGUUCUGCCUUGCCAGUUCACGCUCGCACACCACUAAAUAUGAUUUGCAUUCUCAUUUCACAGAUGAAACUGCGUCCCGUGAAGAGAAUAGACACAGACGGUGGAGGUUUUGAAGGCUCCCAUAGACUGGAGAGUCGCCACGGUGGCUUUGCUGCGCACGCGGCCUUCCUUCAGCUGCUCAACAGUCCGUGGCCACAGCUGCCUGGCUGCUCGUCCAAUCGGAGGCGGCUCCGGAGUCGAGCACGCGGCCCCUCCAGCCCGUGGAGCCGUGCUGUCGUAGCAGAUGCACGAGGGGGACCUGGCGUUGUCCCGCUGAAAUGUCCAGCCAAGGGAGAGAUGCCGAUCUUUCUACUUCACACAUACAGCAUUUGCUACCAUCAUCGCUGUCUGGUCCAACUGUUGGCUCGGGUUCCCCAGUGGCCGAGGCGCCGCGUUCUCUACCAGUCGCUCGCGCUUCAAUUUAAUAGUAAGUUCACAGCGUCGCAGAC
This 501-nucleotide long non-coding RNA is filed under the name Betta splendens (Siamese fighting fish). RNAcentral describes it as "lncRNA (ENSBSLG00000024936.1)". Lineage: Eukaryota; Metazoa; Chordata; Actinopteri; Anabantiformes; Osphronemidae. The record is from RNAcentral.